Hippocampus comes (tiger tail seahorse) is the source of this 568-nucleotide long non-coding RNA. RefSeq lists it as uncharacterized. The record is from RefSeq and is a predicted model, not a curated record. NCBI's taxonomy places the organism in Eukaryota, Metazoa, Chordata, Actinopteri, Syngnathiformes, Syngnathidae. The transcript has 2 exons.
GAUUUACUGUUGGAAAACAUAAUUUGAUGAUUUAUUUAGUUCAAAUGAAAAAGGAAACUCAUACAUAGGUUUUAAGACAAUCUUGAAAUACUCUACUUUGUGUCUUUUGGACGGAUUAAAAACCCAAAUUCUCAAUCUCAAGUAGGUAGGAUAUUUUUAGUUUUAAUUUUUAAUUGUAUUUUUUUAAUUAAAUGCUCUUGUCGUACAAAAGCGAGUGUUAUCGUGAAUAUUAAAAUGAGCCACAUAAAUGAGCAGCGUUUAUCACAUACAAUAAAACACAAUAAAUGUCGAGUAUACUGGGAUCAGCAUUUUUCGUACUUGAACCAAAGUCAGCAGCUUUUGGUGAAUUUUUCAAAAAGAUCUUUUGAUUUUUUGAACCACUCGUCAAAGUGGAUGAAUUUAAUUAGGCCACUCCCUUCAAUUUACUCUUCGCACCAAGUAGGAAAAGUAUCAUGACUGUCGCUGCACUGGAGUCAUUUUUAUGUGCCUGCAUAUUAUCUUUGGCAUUGUCAUUUCUGUCAUUGCCCAAAAAGUUGCAAGUAAAAAAAAAAACAAAACAGUCUAGUGU